This 463-nucleotide ribosomal RNA is filed under the name Vreelandella stevensii. Its description in RNAcentral is "partial 16S ribosomal RNA". It matches the Rfam family "Bacterial small subunit ribosomal RNA", at positions 338 to 795 of the family's 1533-position model. The record is from RNAcentral. Lineage: Bacteria; Pseudomonadati; Pseudomonadota; Gammaproteobacteria; Oceanospirillales; Halomonadaceae.
CCUACGGGAUGCUGCAGUGGGGAAUAUUGGACAAUGGGCGAAAGCCUGAUCCAGCCAUGCCGCGUGUGUGAAGAAGGCCUUCGGGUUGUAAAGCACUUUCAGUAGGGAAGAAAGCCUUGGGGCUAAUACCCUCGAGGAAGGACAUCACCCACAGAAGAAGCACCGGCUAACUCCGUGCCAGCAGCCGCGGUAAUACGGAGGGUGCGAGCGUUAAUCGGAAUUACUGGGCGUAAAGCGCGCGUAGGCGGUCUGAUAAGCCGGUUGUGAAAGCCCCGGGCUCAACCUGGGAACGGCAUCCGGAACUGUCAGGCUAGAGUGCAGGAGAGGAAGGUAGAAUUCCCGGUGUAGCGGUGAAAUGCGUAGAGAUCGGGAGGAAUACCAGUGGCGAAGGCGGCCUUCUGGACUGACACUGACGCUGAGGUGCGAAAGCGUGGGUAGCAAACAGGAUUAGAUACCAGUAGUC